This is a long non-coding RNA of Diabrotica virgifera virgifera (western corn rootworm), 476 nucleotides long. RefSeq lists it as uncharacterized. The record is from RefSeq and is a predicted model, not a curated record. NCBI's taxonomy places the organism in Eukaryota, Metazoa, Arthropoda, Insecta, Coleoptera, Chrysomelidae. The transcript has 2 exons.
UGCCUACGUCACUCGUACGACAAAGUCAAGUUCGACAGUUGUUUGUGGUUAUAUUUCCGUAUAUUUUUGUGGAAUUUUCUUAUAAUAUCGUUUAUUUGUUUAAUAUUUGUUGAGUUUUUAAGCAUAUAAGGACAAUAUUACUAUAAUUACUUAGUUGGGUCCUAUACAAUGGCAGUAAUGACUUGUGACGUGUGUUUUCGUAACCGUGUAAAAUGAGUGGUGGUAACAUUUAUAGCAUAGCUAUAUGUAAAAGCAACUCCAAAAUUCCUGAACCAGAUGGAAACAAAAUAAUGUUUUUGGACAUUGCCCAAAUACCUUAACAUUAUCAAACAAUAAUGGAUAAUAAAAUGUUACAAGAUAAAUGGGCCUCUAAACAUAAGAAAAUAGGUAGCAAACAUUUCCUCGUGUCUGAAUAUGUUAAUAUUAUGUUACGUCUUUUUUAUAUUUUAAGCUAAUAAUAAAUUAUUUAUAUUAUU